RNAcentral lists this ribosomal RNA (253 nucleotides) under uncultured bacterium. RNAcentral's name for it is "partial 16S ribosomal RNA". It matches the Rfam family "Bacterial small subunit ribosomal RNA", at positions 524 to 776 of the family's 1533-position model. The record is from RNAcentral.
UACGAAGGGGGCUAGCGUUGCUCGGAAUUACUGGGCGUAAAGGGAGCGUAGGCGGACAUUUAAGUCAGAGGUGAAAUCCCGGAGCUUAACUUCGGAACUGCCUUUGAUACUGGGUAUCUUGAGUAUGGAAGAGGUGAGUGGAAUUCCGAGUGUAGAGGUGAAAUUCGUAGAUAUUCGGAGGAACACCAGUGGCGAAGGCAAUCCCCUGGGCCUGUACUGACGCUCAUGCACGAAAGCGUGGGGAGCAAACAGG